AAAUUAUAGGUGAAUGUUCACAGGUUGUAACUCAUCAAGUUAAAUUGAGCUCAUCUAUACAUAAAAGAGUACUGUAUUUUAGUAACAUCUAUACACAAAAAGAACACUUAAAAUAUUUUCCUUAAUACAUGUAAAAAAUGACAAAAGAUGUUUGUAUAGGUCCUGUCUUUAAAAACAGACGUAGGUGGUCGCUUAUUGUUUUAAUGACAACAAAAUUUUAAUUACUAAUAUAAAGUAUUUUCUUGAGUAUGUGUUACAAAUAAUAGGAUAUAAUAUCAAGCAAGUGAUGACAUUGGAAGGGCAUAAAUCCACUUAGGAUGAGUGCAAUAGAAGCUAGCCCAUCGGAGAUAAUUUAAUCAUAAAAGCAAUCAUUAGAAGAUAAAUAGUCCUAAAUGAAUCUGAUAUAUCUCCUAAAAUAGAGAUUAAAAUCAAAACAUAAAAUAUUUGUACUGUAUUUCAAGAAAGAAGGUUCAGAUGAUUGAUCUAGUACAAGUGCAUCAAAAGAGAUGUAUAAUAGUCACAAGACCAAUAUUACUUAAAAGAUGACAGAGAAUGUAUAUCGAAAAAUAUACUUAUAUACAGGAGUGUAAAGAACAGAAAAAAUCCAAUAAAGAAAAAUUCCACUUAGAGGCGAGAUUCAGAGUUGGUGAAUAUGGCGAGAUUCAGAGUUCUGUUUCUACGACACCAUUGGAAGUUGCUCUUUCUCUUAUCCAUUGCCGUUGUUGUCAACACCAUGAGAAAGAGAUGACGAAAACAUGAACAAGCAAGACGGAACAAAUCAAAGAUGGAAAGCGAGAACAUGAAGUCAUGAACAGGAAACACAUAUAAACAGAUGUUACAGCAACACACGAAGACGGAAAACUCAGCAAGGAUCGACACAUAGAACGCGUAGAAACAGAACUGAAGGCACUCAAUAAAUAAUACUUUGCUAUAGUCCAAUUUAACUAAAACCAAGGGCAAUGAGUUAAAAAAUAUUACUUUGCUUUAGUCCAAUUUAUAGGCAUUCAGGUCAAUUUUCAAAAGGCAAUGAUAAAAGAAGUGAAAGGGACCGAAAAGGGUCGUAUGUCCCUUUCAUUUUAGUAUAUCCAUGAAGUAGCAUACAUUUGGAAUCACAUUCAAUUGUCUAGAAAACACACGACUUUACAGAAGCUACAAAGUAUAGCUUUAUAAAACCAUGGUGAGAGCUCAUUGAGACGCGAGAAAUAUGUUCCAAAUGCAAAUCCAAACAGACUGGUACACAUUAUCAAAUUUCAAAAAAAGCAGCAAAAAAUCAGAUAAAUACAACAAAUUGGUAUUAAAAUGGGUCAAAAUAUCACUGCAUUGCAAUGUAAAGAUAUAUAGUUGAUGUAAUAUAUCUUUUUUGAAAAUCUUAAUGGACACAAAAUCAUUUUAUUAGAAAGAUAGCAUUUUCAUUUUUUCUGCUAAAUCUAUGUAAUUACUACUAGGGAAGGUGUUUUGGUCUAUUACAACUUGAUAGCGAGACAUCUAAUUUAUUCAUUUGGGGUUGAGAUGCCGAUCAGUACAAUGUAAAUCUGUGAAAACACCGUGAUCGGGUGUAUUUUGACAACAGCCAAGUUAACAUUUUUAUAAUUUUUGUUAUGAAACAUGGCAUCCAUGGAUGAAGGAGAGAAAAACUAUGAAAAUAUUGUAUUGAUGGUAAAGAAUAAUAUUACAAAUGAUUGAAUUGACCCACUAAUGGGGUGGUUACAACUAUAUAUACUACUCUAGGACUAAUACUAAUUGUGACUAAACUAUAUCUCUAAUAAUUUUCAAAUUAAAAUUUGUUAAAAAAAGGAAUGAGAGCCAUGUCGGUUUCAUUAAAAAAAGUAUUGUUAGCUAUGUGUAUAAAUGUGUUUCAAUCAUAAAUAAUUUAUGAGAUGUUUUCUCUUCGAAAAAUAAAUGAGUUGAAGAGCAAGAUUUUAGGGUUAUAAAGAGGUUGCUUAUGCAAUCUGGUGCAGAAUGAUGGUACAAGUUUAAUUAGCAUGUCAAUAUGUACAAAUAUAAACAUCUGAUCUGAAGCAAAACAAGUCCCUGAAAUAUUCCAAACUCAUAAUUAAAAACAUCUUCUAUGAAACACUAUCUAACACAAACACGGACACUUGACAAAUCCGACUCUCCUACAGUUAGAGGAUCUCACAUUCACGUAAUCAGGACCACAACUUUCAAAUGUUAAAUUCAGUAGCCUCAAUCAAGCAAUAAGCCAAAUCAAGAAUAAAUUCUUAGUGAAUAAGCAGCAAAAAAGAAAUUAUUACAUCUCAAGUAUCGCCAAUGCAGUUCGUGCAAGAAACAAAAACAUCAACAAUUAAUGUGCGACAGACAGACAACUAAGAUCAAUAUGUAUCAUACCAUUACUAACAAAACCUCUAAUACAAAGAGGCUAACAGAAAUUUAAUCUGAAAAAAAACUAUAUGCUAGAUUGUUAUCCAUUUUAUAUAAUAGGAAAUCUUUAAUAAUGCUUGAUAUGUAAAAUCAUAACAUUAUGAGUUGAGUUAACAAAUCAAAUCACAAGCAUUCACGAAGUUAGAAAUAUAACAGUAUAGCUUAAUUCUUUUGGAUGUGUUCUGAACCUCUGAGAAAAAAAAAAAUUACUGCAGACAUGUGAGCAGUACAUCAAAUCAAUGCCAGUAAAUUAAAAAAAAAAAAUAUUAACCAUCAAGCUUCAGCUAAAACAUGCAAAAAGGCUGGCUGAACAUCAAGCUUCCAUUUUUAGAGUAGAGUCAAAACUUAAAACAACAUAUCUAUGAAUGAAGUUCAUGCAUUAUUAGAGAUUUCUCCUUUCUUUAUCCAUGAAUGAAGUUAAUCUCGAAAGAUAAAUAGACACACAAUAAAUAUGUAAUUCUAUUAUUAGAGAUUAAGUUUGCAUCACCAACAAAUAUGAAUUCUAUGUUCAAUAAAUAUGAUUACGGCAUAAGGCUCUCAACAACAUGAUCAAACAAUGUAUGAGUUUCAUGCCUCAAGUAAUUAUUAGUAGCAAGCACUUUAACGCUACAAUAGGAAAGUUCAAUAUGCUAGUCCCCAUCUGAUAAGUGCAGCAGGAUCAAGCAUCUGCACAUAGUUGGUGGUGAAAACUAUCAAUCUUUCCCAUCCAAAUGCAGACUAUGAAACCUGAUUACCAUCUAUUAACAAAUAUAUAAAAGAUUCCUGUGCAGUAGUUACCACAAGAUAACAAGUUUACAAUCAACAUCAAUGAAAAAAUAAGUGUUAUCAUAGAGGUUCUUCUAUUAUUCCAAUCUAAUUGUGAAACUGAUCUAAGAUAUUGGGGAUUAUAAACGGAGUUACAAUUGUAACAACCUGUUCUACUCCGCCAAUGUUGACUACAAUCAAAUACCAGAUCACAUAAUUAAAAAAAUGGAUGAAUACCACAAAACAUUUAGAGACGUCAAGUAAAAUCAAUUUGAAACAUACAUAUCUUAAUCCUCGGUAAUAAUUUUACAGGAAAAGAUAGGAUUAACAAAAAACAAAUAAGCACAUGGUGUGAAAAAAAGAAAGAUAAUCCAAAUUAAUUACCAUAAAGCAAAAUCUCGAUUGCAGCAUACAAAGUGCAGACUGAAAGCAAGUAAAUAAAAAUAAAAAGUGCAGACUGAAAAACCCUAACCUAAAAAGAAAACGAAAAUACUGAAAGAAAAAUUUAUUCAUGGAUAGCUAAUAAUUCUAUUCUAGGGCAUGACACUUUGCUUCAUGACAAGUUCAUCAGCCCUUUCAACAAGCUUCCUCCUUAACUCGUAAAUGGACACCAUAAAUUGUUCAAGCUGAUCACUACUCAUAUCAUCAAUUGAAUCAUUCCACCAGUCACCCUUGUUGAAAAUCUUAGCCAAAUUUUGAACAUCUUCUAGUUUCUUCUUUUCCGUCUCCAACAUCUUUUGUGCCUCCUCAUAUUGUCUAUUGUAAUCUUUGCAAGUCGGAGAAUUUUCUGCUGACUUUGAAUCCUCAAACUCAGUGGUUCCUUUGAUGUAGCUAUUGAGGACAACGUUAGUGUCGGGUUGCCCAAAACAGUAGAGUUUGUCACCAGGGGAAAACACAAUGAUGGCUGCAUGAACAUCACAUAAGACACAAAGUUCGCUUGCUUUUCUGAAUAAACCUUGUCUUCUUUUUGAGAAAGUGACAAGUUUGUUGGAAUCUUUCUCAACCUUCUUGAUCUCAAUCUUCUGGCGCCCCAUGUUCUUCUUUCUUUGGUUAACCAUAUCCAUGGUGAUGCUGAAAUUGCAUUCUUGUAAAACUUGAUAGAGAUUUAUUUAUAGGGAAAGAACCGUGUGACAUAAAUUAAGAUCCUACAAUUUCUCCCUAUCUAAGAUUCUAGAUCAAUUUAUUUUAGACUAAAAAGAUUCUAAACCAAAAAAUUAUUAACUCUUACAUAUUGAGAAAAAAUUUAUAUUCCAUUUUUUAUCAAACUGUUUUAAGACUGUAAAUAAAAGAGUUUUAAGAAGGUAAAUAAAAGAAUUACAUUUUGUCAAAAAAAAUAUUAUAUGAGGUCCCUUCAAAAAAAAUAUUUAGAUGAGGUUUUGCUUGGUUAGAAAUAUUUUAGUUUUUUUUGGUAGUGCGAAAUAUUUUUGUUUAUCAAUAUAAAUUUUGAUUGCCAUUUUAUCACGUAAAAUUGUGUUUUUUUUUACUGGAAUCAUGCCAUAAAAAAAGUUCCUAAAACUUCUCCCUAUCUAAGAUUUUAAAUCAAUUCCUUAAAAAAAAAAAAGAUUCUAAAUCAAUUAUGCAUUAACUCUUACAUAUUGCCAAAAAAUUUAUAUUCCUUUUUCAUGAAAACAAUUUUUUAUUGCUAUUUUAUCUCCUAAAAUUGCUUGAUUUUCUAGAGCAAAAAAAAAAUGCUAAUUAUAUAUGGUUCUAGUUUUGGUUUUUCUUUGUUUUGCUUGAAAUAGUGAAAUAGGAAGAGUUUCUGUAUCCCAAUGCUCAAACAUUUAUUUUUGGAAGAAAAAAACAACCAAGUCAUAACAUCGUUAGAGAAUAAAAAAAAUUCAUAAAGUUUUUACAUAAUCCCUUUUUUUAAUUAGGACUUAAUUGCACUUUUGGACCCCUACCUUUCCAAAAGUUGCGGUUAUGUACCCCUAACUAAUUUAAAUACAAAAGUUGCGGUUAUGUACCCCUAUGUUUUGAUUCUUUGGCAGUUUUAGACCCCAAGGCAAAAUAAAAAAUAAAAAUUAUACGUGGCACCUCACUUAGGGUGCCACGUCAGCGUUGACCGAGUCAACAAUGGACGGGGGUUCAAAACUGCCAAAUAAUCAAAACAUAGGGGGCUGUUUUGUAUUUAAAUUAGUUAGGGGUCCAUAACCGCAAUUUUUAGAAAGAUAGGGAUCCAAAAGUGCAAUUAAGCCUUUAAUUAAAAGUUUUAUAAUAUUGUUUAUCCAAGCUAAUUAGAGGUAGAAUGUUGUUAAAUAACAUCUAAAUCGUGAUUGUAUUUUUUUUGUGACUUUCUUUUUUGUGGUAUGAGUAGUAGUGAUUAAUAAAGUUUUGCUUGUUAAGAAAAGAUAAAGUACAAUGGAAAACUAAGAUGUUAAAAUAAGCAAUUAUUAUUAUUAUUACCAAAUAAUUUAGGUAAAGCACGUUUACACUGAAUCAAUACUUGGUUCAAUCAGUAGGCUUAAAAGAGAUAAUUUCUUUUUCUAGGUCAUAGUCAAUUAACAAGUUAUUUUGAGCUAUGUUCCCAAAUAUUUCAAGGCCGUUAGAUGAGAUGAAACCAAAGCACAUAAUCCCAUCUUCAAAUGGAAAAAAUGUUCCAUUAGAAUUUAGCUUAACAUCUGCACCAUUAAAAUGUGCAGUAAUGUCAGGAACAUUUAGUUGUUUACCAGUGGUAUUGUAGCAGAGGCUUAAAUGAUGAUCAGGUGGUUCGAUACGUGGUAGUUUAACCUCUUGUGCCACAUAUGAUACCAACUUAGACAAAAAAAGAUUUGGCAACAUAGUAAGCGGUGUACCUGAGUCAAUUAGGAUGUUCUGAGUAGAAGCAUUUGAUCUUUCUCCAUAUUCUAUUCUAUUGUUUCCUACACUAAAUGCUUCUAAUGUUAGAAAAUAAUAGUUUUCUUGACCAUUGACUUUGACCAUAGGAGUUGAAACAACAAUUUCACCAGAAACAACAACAUCUUCUCCAAAAAUAAGUUUGCUAGAUGAGUUAGAAUCACUAUUAUAAGGAAUCAAACAGUAAGAGAAUUUGCUACCAACUGACGACGAGCCUACUUGUUUUAUAAGCGACAUUGGUCCCCUUCCCAUUCCAACUACACCCGAGCUUUGACUGUUAUCUUGUAGCACAUUGAUGUGUCCACAUCCUAUCACAAUGUUAGGAAAUAAGACACUAGAUCCUGAGGUGGAAUCUAAUGUUAAACUAUCAUUACUAAGAUCCCCUUGUGACUUUGCAUCACCACCAUAUGUAAUAGAAUAUUCACAAACAUCUCCUCCAUUGGAACAAGAGAUAUGUGUAUCAUUUGUAUCUUUACAUGUACUAGAAGUGCAGGGAAUAUUUUUGUAACUUGAAGAUUUUGAAGGAUUAAAUAUAGGAGAGGUUUGAUUGAAACAUGUAUUACAAGGCUGGCAUUGAAGCCAAACUAUGUUACUACCUGUAUCCAUAAAACCUUAAACUUUAAAGGGUGGGGUACCAACUGAGUAACUAAUGAGAUACUCACCUAAUUCUGGGGUUAAAGUUGAUACAGGUUGAUUUUUAUUGAGAGAGAAUUCUUUGGUGAAGUAAUUGACACGAUUGAUUGAACGAUGCACAACAUUAUAAGCUCUUUGAAAUUUAGUUACUGUGGGAUGGUAUAGGGGUGAUUUUGAGAAGUCACGGUGAAUCAUUUCAAUACUUAAACCUUUUUUCGAAGCAUGAGAAAAAUAAAUGAAACAACAAAGAUAAAAGAAAAUAAGCGUCAAAACUGAAAAACGAGACAUUAUUGCUAGAGGUUUGAGAGUAUAGUGACACAAGUUAUGUAUUUAUUUGAAUUUCCUUCAACAACAAUCAAAAAUGCAUUUAUUUGACUUUACUACUAUGCCAUUAUCUUUGACCAAUGUCUUCAAGCAAAAAAAUCUUUGACUAAAAAUCUUUGACCAAUAUCUUCAAGUAAAUAAUUGUUAUUCAAAUUCUGUGUUUUUUCUAUAAUAUCCUUAAUAAUUUAUUAUUGUAUUGGGCAAAUUACACUUACAUUCUCUGAGAUUUCUUUAAAUAACACACAAACCCCCUCUAGUUUAGAAAUGAACAUUGACCUCCCUUAUUUGUUGACGGCGUUGAUGCUCAGUUAACAUUAGAUUUCUUGGCUACUGUGAAAAUUUGUGGAAUACAAAUUGAGGAAGGGUCAAUUCCUAAUCAAUUUUCACCCACACCCUUUUUUUUAUAGUGAGAAAAAUAUUAUAUUUGUUUUUUAUUUGGUUUUUAAUCAUUUAACAUUAGAGCACUGCUCUGUGAUUUUGAUAGCCAGCGUAAUAAAUGUUGAAAAUGGAGAAGAUAAUCAUCUUCUAACGGUGGGAAGUAGAUAAAAUAAAAUAUGGACAAAGAUUAUAACUUAUAAGCUAAUUGCAAAAUCACCCUUUCCCAUUCGUCUUCAUCAACGUGGCUUGAGUUGACUGAUUUUUAUGGCUUGAGGAGUUCAUUUUUCGACAUUGUUUUAGUUUUUGCUUCAUCAUAUGUGGUUUUCUUCCUUUUUUCAUAUUCUACAUUAUAAGGUUUUUUUUUUUUUUCAAUUGUUAGUGAAUUAUGUACCAGAAAUUAUUAUGUUGCAUGGUUGUAGAAAAAUCUUCUUUUGUUAUGGUAAGAUAUUGACACAAUUAUUAUUUUAGGUUCUGGUAUUGUAGUUGAAUUUUUUUAAUGCAUGUGGGUUAUUUUAGUUUUUGUAAGUAAUCCUAAAGUUGUAACAGUUUUUAUAUUUGGUUUAUUCUUUCCUAUAUCAUUGAGCCGUACAAAAUUUGACCGGUGUAAAUUUGUUUUGGUCAUAUCAGUGAGGUCCAGAAAGUUAAUGAUAUCUAAAUUUGAUCACAUAGAAAUAUGUUAGCUUCUUUCGAUAUCAGAAUGAACAAAGGAAAUAAAAUGAAAUGAUGUAUUAUUGUAUUUCUAUAUAGGACUUUCAAUGUCAAGGGAUUAUGACUACAUUAAGGAUCUCAAAAAUGAUUUGGACAUUUGGAAAAUAGAAUUUGGAGUGCUGGAUUCUUGGAUUGUGACUGAUAGUAAUGAGAAUCAACAUAUGAAGCUCAUUAUUUGUGAUGCAAAGGUUAGAUGAGUUAGUUAAGAUUUGUUGUAAUUUCCUUUAUGAUUUAUCAAUGUUACUUAUUAGUGUACAUUUUGAUUUAUUUAUAUUUUUUGGUUUCUUUCUCGAAUUUAGGGUGAUCGAGUUCAUGUAAUAUACUCAUUAUCACCGACAGAGCAAGCUAUGAAAAAUACUUGGGUGGACAAUGAUUCAAUUUCUGCAGAGAACGUGUGAUGGAAGAAGGUGGUACGCUCAACUUUGAUCUCGAAAAGUCACCGAAGAACUUGCACGUUCGAGUUGUUCCAAAGUAGAUCUUUGUUGCUGAACUAUUUGAACUUCUAGUAUUUUGAUGUAUCGCUUUGGACUGUAAUCGUAAAUUAUAUUGACUUUGGGAUGCCAUUUGUUCUUUUCACUUUGUCUAAUGUAAAUAUUGGCAAAAAUUCUUUUUUGAUUAGUCUAUGACACUUGCAGUCUCUUUUAUAAACCUAACUAUUAUGUAACGUUAAUCUGCACAUUGUUGGUUCCUUCAUUGGUUUCAAUUAGUAUCAUGUUAAUUAUAAUGUUGUUUUUCCAAUCGCUUGAACAAAAUAGAACAUGCUCUUUUACUACAGCAAAUCUUUAUAAUGCUUUGGUAAAUAUUUUAGAAACGUACACACACACACACACAAUAUAUAUAUAUAUAUAUAUAUAUAUAUAUAUAUAUAUAUAUAUAUAAAACAUCUAAUUAACACUACAAUUUGUUUUGUACCUAGCACUUUUCAAAUGAGAUAUCAAAGACAUUUCUAAAAGGAACACGGAAAACAAUCACACUCAUCGACAAACAAGCUCAAAAAAGGUAUAAGUGUCGGCAAAGAGAGUAAGUUACGAAAAAUACGUAGGUGGUCAAUGGUUCAACUUUUGCCGAGAACAUAUAUUAGAGGUAGGUGAUAAGCUAAUUUUUGACCUAGAGAAGCCACCCAAAAAUAUGCACGUUCAAGUCAUUCCCAAAUAAAGAUUUUGUGUUCAUGAUCCGCACUUUCAACAGAUCACCUUAAUUCUAAUCCUAUACUAGAUUAUCUUCACUCACUAAUGCUACUUCUUUGCUUCAUUUCAUCUGUUUUAAAUAUGGGUAUCAAUCCUUUUUUGGUAACUCUAUAACAACAAUUCUCUUUUUUAUAAUUUUGGAUAAUAUGUAAUCAUAAUUCACACAUCAUUGUUUCCUUUAUUGGUUCCAAUUGUUUUCAUCCUAAAUAUUAUGUCAAUUCCUAAUCUCAUAAACUAAUUAUAUGCUCUCUUAAUCAGCCCAUACAUAUUUUAUGAUGAAUCACAAUGUUCCGUCGUUUUAACAUCUCUUCUUUCGAAGAAUUUUUUUAUUGAAUAUAUUAUUGAACCCGUGGGAAGCACGGGUUUGUAAUUAGUUGAUCAUUGAAAAUACACACACGUACUGAACCAAUUCUUCUAUAAUUACCUUCAUAUGAUGAAUGAUGGCGCCACAUAGCAACAAUUGAGGAAAAACUCUACAAUUUGCUAUUGUAGUAAUCUACAACUCUCUCUCAAUUUAGACAUCUAAGGUUCUAUUUUGUUUUCUAUUUUAAGUUUUUCUUUUAACACAUGUCUUCUUCUACUUCUACUUCUUCUUCAAACUGAAUAUGGGUUAGGUAGAAGGAAGCAAGAUUCCAAAGUGGGAUCUUAGUAUGGCAGCAUUAAUUAGUAUUAAAAGUAAGUAUUUUUGUAUCGUCUCUUUAAGGACUGGUGUGAUGUUUAAGUCGAUCAACACUUAAAUAUGAUUUUAAGUGAUAUAAUUGUAAGGUGUUUGGUUUCAUAAUCUAUAAAUAUGGUUUCAAAAUUUUUUGCAUGGGUAUAUUUCAAUUUUUUUACCGAGAUGGCGUAAUUGUUGAAUCAUUCAAUUGGUUGGUUAGUUUGUUAGAAUGCUUGUAUCAUAAGAAAAUUUGUUAGAUGGAAGUUUUACUCAUACAAUAAGCCUAUAUAAGGCAUUGGUUGAUCAAUAAGAUUUAGUUGAACAUUUUCACCAAAAUCUCUUUUCAAUCUUUGUUCUUACCUCAUACGCUCGAUAUUAGAAUUCCUACAAAGAGAUAUAAGUGUGUCCAUUUCUAUUAAUCAUAUUCAUUUGAUCCUUUCUCCACCUCUCCAACUAAUUAUCGAUUAUGUUUUACUUAAAAAGCACAAGAUAAAAAUUUGUUAUGAAAAAAAUUGAAAGAAUCACAUCACAUAUAUUCAUUAUUGAUACAAAAAUCACGGGAUAAAUAGUUGUCAUUGAUGAAUAAAAAAUAUGGGAAAAAUAUUUUCCGUUGAUGCAUAAAAAUGACAAGACUAAUAUAUGUUCCAAAUACAUAAAAAAAUAUGAAAGAAACACUUUUCUUUGAAAAAGUGUUUCUUUCAAAGCACGAGAUAUAAGCACGAGAUAUAUAUUUAUCAUUGAUACGUAAAAAAAAUACGAGACAAAUAUUUGUGACUUAUAAAUAUAAAAAUAGAGGGAAAGUAUUUUUUAAAGCUACAUAAAAAAAUGAGACACAUAUUUAUCGGAAAGUAUUUUUCAAAGCUACAUAAAAAAAUGAGACACAUAUUUAUCACCAAUAAAUAUGAAAAAGAAACACGAUCAUAAGAUAAAUAUUUGUCAUUGAAGCAUAAAAAUAAACAUGAGAUAAUAAAUAUUUUUCAUUGAUAAAUAGAAAGGAAAAAAAAACAAGGGAUAAAUAUUUGUCAUUGGUACGUAAAAUAACACAAGGCUCCAUCAAUUCAGGAAGUCAUUCAGCUUAGUCAGAGAAAUUGGCUCUUUGCAAAAUUGUGAUCUUAUCAACAGGAAUCACUUGAGAUUUAAUAGCAAGGAGAUCAACUUCAGAUCAGUUAUAUUAAUCUCAUCAUCUUAGGAACUGCCAUGAUAGGUAAUAACUCCAAGUGUGCUGCAAAUUAAACACUUCAAUUGUUGAUUUUGUGCUUCAUAAAGCACUACUGCACAUAUGACAUUUUGCAACAUUUUUGGGGUGACAAUUUUAAAAAAGUGUUACACACAUAAUUUAUUUUCAGUUUUAAGAGCACCCAUAAAAUAAAAUGUUACUCUAUAUUUCUUUUUGAACAAAUAAAACAAGGUAAAUGUUACCAACACUUCAGUGAUAACUCAACUCUCGUUCUCUAUUCUCUCUCUCACCAAAAAUCUCACCGAUCAAAAUGAAUCGACGACAACAAUCAAUCGCCACGGUCGCCGCCACAUCACCACCGUCAUGCAUCAUCGUCGUCACGCCAAUUCAGUUUUCUUUUCUCGACCACAAACAACAAAUCGAUCACAGAAGCAGAGCUAUUCACCACAUUAACGUUCUUUCUCUCUUCACAACCUCGAAUAAUCACUUUGAUUCUUCGUUCAGUUCACAACGUCAAUUCAUAGCUCGAUUCAUCAGCAUUCCAUUCAUUGCAGAAUCUUCAUCUUAGGGUUCGUGAUUUUGUUCUAAUUAAUUCAAUUUGAGAUAAGUGAUAAUUUGUGUUUUUGUUCUUAGUUAUAAUUUGUUGAUUCUGUUAUUCGUUAUUCAUUCAUUCAUUUGUUCAUGCUUAUGCUUUAGCUGAAGCUUAGCAAUCAUCGAUUUCGGUAACCACCAGUGUCCAACCAUCAAGAAUUCAACGAUAUCAAUCUUCGGAUUGCAGCUCUAGCUACCAAAAGACAGCAUUGUUUCCCUCGUUGUAUUAUUGUGAAAUUUGACAGUGAAAUUUUCUCUUGCAAGGUAUUAUUGUGUUGCAUAGGAGGUGUUUGAUAAAUUGUCUCAAUGAAAUUUGAACCUGUUUUGCAAUUGUUUUUGCAGGUUUUGGUGUUGGUUGAGGUUUCGGUGUUGGAUACGAUUUCAGAGGUCUCUUUCUGCACUGCCUUUAAUUUCUUCUCUAUGCUUCAAUUUUAAAUUCUCUAAAUUCUUUUAGGCUGCAAUUUUAUGUUGGACUUUGUUAAUCCAAAAGUGUUUUUUUUUUCUUUUCAAAUUCCCUUUUGUUCUAUUCUAAUGUCAAUGUUAUCACUUUAGACAUGCUCAUUAUGUAUGCUUAUAUAACUGAUUGUAUAUUGGUACUUAGUAGAGCUUUUAAUUCACAAGUUGGAAAGUUGUUUCUUGGCAGAGGAGGUAAAAUAGGUGAACUAGAAAUUUCUCAUAUUAUAGGGUAAAAUAUUGGUGGCAGGGAGUUAAAAAGUGUUGUAGUCCACAUUAUUAGAUUAUUAUAUGCACGUAGUCUAAUCGUAAUACACCCUACUAUUUUUUAUCAUAAUGCUACUCACAAACAUUACCUGGUCUCUAUCCUUGCAACAAAAAUCAUGGAUAGAGCCUAACCGGAUAUUUUAUAACCUUGCAGUAUAAUCUACAAAAUUUGAAGAUAUUGUAAGUGAUUUCAUGUUUCAAGUUCCUAUCAAUAUGUUUCAAGUAUAUGUCUAAAGACUUGCUAAAUUUGAAACAAGCAUAGCAUUUGAAAUAGAAUAGAGAUGAUGUCAGCGAGUAGAUAAUAUA
This 12634-nucleotide long non-coding RNA is filed under the name Medicago truncatula (barrel medic). RNAcentral describes it as "long non-coding RNA (MTRU_LNC000070)". The stretch from base 5082 to 5246 matches the Rfam family "MIR2619 microRNA precursor family". Lineage: Eukaryota; Viridiplantae; Streptophyta; Magnoliopsida; Fabales; Fabaceae. The record is from RNAcentral.